Molecule: small RNA, 724 nt
Filed under: Histoplasma ohiense
Lineage: Eukaryota; Fungi; Ascomycota; Eurotiomycetes; Onygenales; Ajellomycetaceae
Description: hypothetical lncRNA
Source: RNAcentral
AGGUAGCGUUGUUUUGUAGGUGUGGAGAUACAUGGAGACAUGUGUGCUGGGGAAGAUUUGACGAGGAUAAAGUUGACUAGGGGUUAGUGAGCCGUGGAGCCCCGGUGCGGAUUGAGCCUCAUCGGGAGUUUACUUCAACAUGAAGAGCGCGAGGCUACACAACGUCCAGAUCCAACAUUUUGCAUUUUGGCAUCCAGAACACUCCCAUCCUUCGCGAGGUUGACUCGUGAUCUACCACCCUACGGAAUGUAAACUACAAACCCGAGAAUUUUUGUGCUUCUCAAUGAGCAAGGCUGAACAAUGGGGGCGGAGGAGUUUGACACAUCAAUAUUUUAUGUUUCGCACAAUUUUCUAGAACACAGAGGAAGUUUUGAAUGGCCGUCUCAUAUCUCUAAUAGCUGGCUUGGCCAGUGAGCUUGUUGCUGAGGUUCAUGCACCAUCAGGUUUUAAAGACACUUGGGAGGAAGGGGAAGAACUGGCAGCGUAUGGGUCGAGUGAUUGGUCCUGGGCAAUGCAGCCUUCCUCUUGCUUCGAAGCGAUAGUGAAAAUUUUCAGGAAUUUGAUUACUUCACCUCAUUUCCCAAUGAGGUGAUUUCCAGUCGGGUUGUUGUUCGCAAAUGAGGUGGUGGCAUCGAUGGAAUCCGGUUAUGACUGGGUUCAGGAUGCAACUGGCUACAUUGUUCUCACAUAAGAGUUGAAGACCAAUUGGUCGUAUAGUUACAAA